Molecule: ribosomal RNA, 253 nt
Filed under: uncultured bacterium
Lineage: Bacteria
Description: partial 16S ribosomal RNA
Rfam family: Bacterial small subunit ribosomal RNA
Source: RNAcentral
UACGUAGGGGGCUAGCGUUGUCCGGAAUCAUUGGGCGUAAAGCGCGUGUAGGCGGUCCGGUAAGUCCGCUGUGAAAGUCGGGGGCUCAACCCUCGGAUGCCGGUGGAUACUGUCGGGCUUGAGUACGGAAGAGGCGAGUGGAAUUCCUGGUGCAGCGGUGAAAUGCGCAGAUAUCAGGAGGAACACCAAUUGCGAAGGCAGCUCGCUGGGACGUUACUGACGCUGAGACGCGAAAGCGUGGGGAGCAAACAGG